Lathyrus oleraceus (garden pea) is the source of this 518-nucleotide long non-coding RNA. RefSeq lists it as uncharacterized. NCBI's taxonomy places the organism in Eukaryota, Viridiplantae, Streptophyta, Magnoliopsida, Fabales, Fabaceae. The record is from RefSeq and is a predicted model, not a curated record. The transcript is spliced from 2 exons.
GAUUUGACUCCUCAUGGGAAACUCUACAUCUUGGUAAGCAGAAAUGAUCAAGAGGAGAGGGUGAUGGAACCUACCAACGAGGACAAGGAUUUCCCCAGUCAGAUUUGAUACUCUACAUCAAUGAAGAAAAGAAGAAAUCCAUAGAUGACUGCAAAUUUCAGGGCUGAUGUUAAACUUGAUAUGAGACAAAGUUUUGGCAAGGCAUUAAGACUUGGCAAGGCAUGUAUCAAGAUGCUUUCAUGAAGAUAUUUUGGAAACUUCAAGAUCUGUGAAGGAUUUUGGACAAAAAAGACGUGGCUUAGGAAUGGAGAAUAAGGAGGAUUAAAUUCAAGAUAGGUAGUUGACUUUGGUAAACUUUUGACCUAAAAGUCAACAGUUGACCAAAAGUCAACCUAGGUCAAAAUUAGGGUUUUCUUUAUGUGUGCUUUGUAAAUUUGGAUUUUGGAUUUUUGUAAUGUAAUGUUUGAUAUUGUAAUGAAAUUGACCUUUGAAAAUGAAUAAUGUCUUGUUCUUUGAAA